CACCUCUCAGGGUCACAACUGGAGAGUUUCCAGUCCUCUUCCAGUCUCGACUAAGGGAGGGAGAGUCAAGGAGAGGCCUAUCUAUUCCACUUCUAGCUCGGGCAGUGGCUAGCGAGUGGAAGGCAAUCUGCUACACGU
Molecule: small nucleolar RNA, 138 nt
Filed under: Ornithorhynchus anatinus (platypus)
Lineage: Eukaryota; Metazoa; Chordata; Mammalia; Monotremata; Ornithorhynchidae
Source: RNAcentral